Non-coding RNA from Arachis ipaensis, 154 nucleotides. The record is from RefSeq and is a predicted model, not a curated record. NCBI's taxonomy places the organism in Eukaryota, Viridiplantae, Streptophyta, Magnoliopsida, Fabales, Fabaceae.
UUAAGCUUGAACUUACUCACCCAAAAAGGUUGAGAACCUCGGCUAUUUGAUCUGCUAGGUCGUCAACAGAAAGAACUGGAUAAUCUGGAACAAUCUCAGGAGCUCCCAACUGCAACAACUCUUGAACAAAUCCUGUGAAAGAAGUUCAAAUGGC